Molecule: long non-coding RNA, 1639 nt
Organism: Xiphophorus hellerii (green swordtail)
Lineage: Eukaryota; Metazoa; Chordata; Actinopteri; Cyprinodontiformes; Poeciliidae
Exons: 12
Source: RefSeq, a predicted model, not a curated record
GCCAAAGUAGUGGGGACAUAAAAAGCAGACGCACCGGAUUCUUCUUCCACUUCCUCCUUCCCUCUGCUGCUGCAAAGAAGAGAUGGCGCACGCUUUGCUGCCAAAGGUUUGGGUUUUGAGGCUUCUUGCACAAGAAGAUGUGAUCAACACCUUCAGUGAGGAUCAACGCCUCAAGCCCAGCAGGAUUUGUUCCCCAAUAACAUCAUAAAUGCUGGAGAGGUGUUGGAAACCUAGUGGAGAUGAAAACCUGAUGUGAAAUAUCAGCUGUGAUAAAUGCUUCACUAAUAGUGAAUCUAAAGUGGCCGACAUCUGGCCCUGGAAAAUCAUAAACAUGUCCUGAACAGCUUCGCCGACCUGAUGGAGAGUUCCUGUUUUGAAGGUCAAAAUCAGGAAGUGAUGUCAUCAAGGUUCCCCUCCACAUAACUGGCGUUCAUCCAGGAAGGAGGAGCCACCCGAUGCGCAGCGUUGGAACGAAGCGCAGAUGGAGGUCGGUUCUAAUCAAUAAUGGUUAACACCGGAUGGGUGGAUGUGAAGAUUCCUUGUUUACCGCCCCAGUCUGAGAAUUCAUGACUGAUUGGUAUUACUCUGAUCCAACCCAAAAGCUCAAACAUCAGUUAAAGCUUUACUUUCCAAAUGCAAAUGUCACUUUCAGUUGGCAACAGUUCAGAGUUUCAGGAACAACCGAAGGGGACAGUCACUACAUGAUGCUGUAAAAUGGUGCCAUGUGCUUAGAGAAACAUAAUGCUGGUCCUUUAAGACCUUUCUUAUAUAAAUGUGUUUCCACCACAUCUUACUACUGUUGAUGUGAGGAGCGGCCAUAUUGAAACAGGGAGUCUGCCUUGCAAGUGGUAACUAGGGGUAGUCAGGAGUUGCUCCCAGUUUCCCAAUAGGAAAUUUGACUUAGGAGGGAUUUAAAAAAAAAUAAUUUUUUUUCUUCUCCUAAGUGGGCAGUCAAAAUGUCUCAUUUGAAAACAACAAUAGUUCAACACAGAAACCUUUGUCAGUUUAGUUUUUCAGUUAUUUUAUACAAUCUUUAGAAUGUUGGUCUCUUUAACUUGGAUGUGGUUUUUAAUUAGUGGCGUACUUGAAUACGACUCAUUACUUCACAGUUUUUAAAUGUUAAUUCUGAUUUACUUUCCUUUCUCUCCUCUCAGGUUGAAGUUGCCUGAACCAUAUUGGUUUUCUUCUCGAGGACGAUGAAACUUCUGACCAGACUGUAUUUUAGGUAUGUAAAACCAACUGAUGUGCCUGGGAUUGUAGAAGUGAUGAUAAACAUCCCCACUAAAGCCGUCCACCCCCUGCCUCAGCUAGUUUCCGCUCCUGUUGGCUCAGUUUUGGCACUGAGAACCCUGAGUUUCUCAGGUGUAAGGUGACCUGCUGAGUUCUGAUGGAGUUCUGGCUGAGGGCCUGACUGAAAAACAAAAGCUGAUCACAUCCCAGGCUCAAACUCUUUGAUUCUCUCAUGGGUUGCACAUCUGCAAUGGUAUAUAUCUAUUAAGUAAACGUUGACUCUAUGCCUUUCUUUUCGACAGCCUGACGUCUUGGCUUGAGGUUUGCUGGUGGACUCCAGCUGAAUCUGAAGAACUUGCUGUUGAGAUUUUAAAAAAAAAUUGUUUUCUGUGAAUUAAAACUGACAAAA